This 497-nucleotide ribosomal RNA is filed under the name uncultured bacterium. RNAcentral describes it as "partial 16S ribosomal RNA". It matches the Rfam family "Bacterial small subunit ribosomal RNA", at positions 28 to 507 of the family's 1533-position model. The record is from RNAcentral.
GACGAACGCUGGCGGCGUGCCUAAUACAUGCAAGUAGAACGCUGAAGAGAGGAGCUUGCUCUUCUUGGAUGAGUUGCGAACGGGUGAGUAACGCGUAGGUAACCUGCCUUGUAGCGGGGGAUAACUAUUGGAAACGAUAGCUAAUACCGCAUAACAAUGGAUGACACAUGUCAUUUAUUUGAAAGGGGCAAUUGUUCCACUACAAGAUGGACCUGCGUUGUAUUAGCUAGUAGGUGAGGUAAUGGCUCACCUAGGCGACGAUACAUAGCCGACCUGAGAGGGUGAUCGGCCACACUGGGACUGAGACACGGCCCAGACUCCUACGGGAGGCAGCAGUAGGGAAUCUUCGGCAAUGGGGGCAACCCUGACCGAGCAACGCCGCGUGAGUGAAGAAGGUUUUCGGAUCGUAAAGCUCUGUUGUAAGUCAAGAACGGGUGUGAGAGUGGAAAGUUCACACUGUGACGGUAGAUUACCAGAAAGGGACGGCUAACUACGUG